GGUCCCUUAGCUCAGCUGGAUAGAGCAACUGCCUUCUAAGCAGUAGGUCGCGUGUUCGAAUCUCGCAGGGAUCA
RNAcentral lists this transfer RNA (74 nucleotides) under Bacteroidota bacterium. RNAcentral describes it as "tRNA-Arg". It matches the Rfam family "tRNA". From Rfam's summary of the family: Transfer RNA (tRNA) molecules are approximately 80 nucleotides in length. Lineage: Bacteria; Pseudomonadati; Bacteroidota. The record is from RNAcentral.